CUGUUCUCCAUGACUCAAAGGGAAGUCUCAGAAAGUCUGCUCCUCUUUUUAACAUACAGCUAUAUUUUUCUUAUAUAAAGACACAAUUUUUAUACUACUGAUGUUUUGUUUUAUUUUAUUUUAUUUAUUAUCAUGAUUUUGCUUUUUAGGGCCACAUCCCCAGCAUAUGGGGGUUCCCAGGCUAGGGGCUGAAUCUGCGCUACAGCGGCCAAGCCUACGCCGCAGCCAUAGCAACUCAGGAUCUGAGCCGCAUCUGAAACCUACACCACAGCUCACAGAAACGCCGGAUCUGUAACCCACUGAGCAAGGCGAGGGAUCAAACCCACAUCCUCAUGGAUCCUUGUAGGGUUCGUUAACUGCUGAGCCACAAAGGAAACUCCAUGCUGGUGUUAUAAGUUUCUGUGUAUAAGAUUUUAUAACAUCAUAAAUGCCCACUGUUAGCUUGGUUAAAAUCUAUUCUGUGGAUUGGUCAGGGUUUGGCUGGUUGUAUUUUUCAAAAUCAAAACCCCUUUGGGGAGUUCUCUUGUGGCACAGUGGGUUAAGGAUCUGGCAUUGCCACUCUAGCAGCUUGGGUCACUGCUAAUGGCUUGGGUUCAAUCCCUGGCCCAGGAACUUCCACAUGCUGGGAGGGUGGCCAAAAAAUCCUCACUAAAACUCUUUGGAAGUUAACUAAUAGCUUUUUACUUGGUGGGUUUUUUUCCCCUUGGAUGCUCAAAAACCUGCCUUCAACACUUAGAGGUGCCACUGCAGCAACAUUAGUGGAAAUUGGGUGCUGGCCGCAACAUCUAAUACUCUGUUUUGCCCAUGUGUUCAGAGCACCAGCUACCUAAAACUAUAGUCUAAUGUUAGAAGCACAGUGACUACUGAAAUACUGCUGGUGGCAACAACCCGCUUUCCUGAAAGGCCAGAUAGGUUUAGCAACCUCCCUGGUGUAUUUUGUUACAUCCAAGUUGGAAAUAGAUGCCCGAAUGCUCAACCUCAGGCAGCAGGUAUUAGUGCAGAUGCCUACUUCAUGCUCCAUACUGUGUAAUGCCCAGCGGAUUACGGGCAAAGGAAAAAGACCCGCAUCCCUGAGCAACACCCGUUGAAACAAUGUACUUAAGCUGUAAAAGCUCUGCAGUUGGGAGUCCACAGUGUAAUCCUUUCAAAUAGAUGAAAUGCUGAAUAACAUUGACGUGAAAUCAUGGGCAGUGGGCAAAGCAUAACGUACCCAGGCUUCUGGGCACACUGAGGGCAUGAACAUAGGCAUUUGGCUUUUCCUAUCUUGUUGAAUGAAAGAUUCACAGCAUAAUAAAGAUUUUCAAAAUAGGUAUCUCUGAAGUAUGGAUGUAUUCUCAGGGCUUCACGUAUCUCUUCGGGAAUUUUCAGAGUGUGUUUUUAUUUUAAAGAUAAUAGUUAAUAAUUCAUCUAACUGUACUCUGCGGUCAUCUCAGGCAAUGUUUAUGAAACUGUGGCUGUAACUCCCCUAGUAGACUCGUUAAUGGGUGAAGUUGGGCAUUGAUUUCAAUCGAGUGAAUGGAAAAUAGCAGGAUGUAAGAGUCAGGUAUUGUUUUGAAAAAUGUUUGUUUCUGUUUUGUAUGUAUGUGGGAAGGGGGCCUGGGUCCUGAUGGGAACUGGGUUUAUUACUGUGGGCAGAUGUCCAAAGAGCUUGAAAGCCGUUAAUCACAGGUCACUGGUUCUCAAGCCUCACUGCACUUUAGAGUCACCCAAUGGGAUUUGAAAAUUAAGGCUGCAUGGGUCCCACCCCCAGAAAUUCUGCUGGAAUGGAUUUGAGGUGUGGGGCUUGCUUAAAACUUCUCAACGAUGUCGCUGGGGGUGUGAACCCAUGAAAAGUUGAGCCUUGUAGCCAAGUCUUGCCGGGUAACUUCAGUCCUGCCUCUGGUUUGUGUUUCUUUGGUUUGCCUGGAGGGCCAAGUUGUCCUGCAGAUUGGAAUUGGAAUUGUCAGAGGGUUUGAGGAGGAAGCAGGCGGGUUGAGGCCAUAGAUAAUGCUUUGCCCUAGGGAAAGGCAGGUGCAGUCCAGUGGGGCGAAUGGAUGAAAGUUCCCAGUGGAUCCUGUGGAGACAACGUGAAGAGAGAAUGCAGAGGGUGGAAGAGAGGAAUCAUGUCAAUUGUGUGAGCAAUUCCACUGGCCCUUCCCCUCAGAGUUGGCACAGUAGGGGGCGCCAGAGUCUGCAGUCUGUGAGUAGAUGCCUCUCCUUCCGGAGAGCCUCCCUAGCAAUUUACCUUUAAGGGUGACUCCUGGCUGAUUUUCUUGCAUUAGCCCUUCCCCUCCCAGAAGAUGCAACUCCACUCUAUUCCUAUGACAAGGGAUGGAUGGGUUUAGCAAAACAACAUCAUCCCUUACAUUACAUUUAAUCUGGUUACUUCUAGUCAUAUUGGUUUACAUUCUUGUUCUUACAGACUUUAUAAUUGCGGCUUGUUGUGUAAUGAUACAAGAUAAUGAGAACAGGGUAUUUACACCGUUAUUUUAUUUGUCCGUAUUUAUUUAUUUAUUUAUUGUUGUCUUUUUGCCUUUUCUAGGACCCCUAGCCUGGGAACUUCCAUAUGCCCUGGGAGCGGCCCUAGAAAUGGCAAAAAGACAAAAAAAAAAAAAAAAAAAAAGGAUGAGACCAUCUUUUUAUACUGAUGUGGGGACUGUACAUAAGACAUCCUGAGAAUGGAACAAGCAAAGUGCAGGAUGACACACAAACAUUUAUUUAGAAAAGAAAUGCGCAUGAAAGAGAGGAAGAGAGAGAGAGAUUGAGAUUGGAUGCUUGAAUGCACAGAAAUUGUUCUGGAAAAAUAUCCUCCCAAGUUCUGAGAGUGUCCACCUCUGCCAAGAUUGUAGACUUCAGGCAUGAGUGGUGAUGGCCAAAGGAAACUUGAGCUUUGAUCUAAUAUUUGUGCUUUGUUUUCUGUUUGUUUGUAAGCAGGAUGACUGCAGGCAGGUACGUAGGUAAUUCUGAAAAGGUUAGGGUGUUG
This 2962-nucleotide long non-coding RNA is filed under the name Sus scrofa (pig). RNAcentral describes it as "lncRNA (ENSSSCG00065007251.1)". The record is from RNAcentral. Lineage: Eukaryota; Metazoa; Chordata; Mammalia; Artiodactyla; Suidae.